AUGUCGUGGCAGACUUACGUGGACGAGCACCUGAUGUGCGACAUCGAGGGCCACCACCUCGCCUCCGCCGCCAUCCUCGGCCACGACGGCACCGUCUGGGCCCAGAGCGCCGAUUUCCCGUCGGCGCCGACGAUCUCUGACAUGUUUGCAUGCGUGAUCCAGUUCAAGCCGGCGGAGAUGGCCAACAUCAUGAAGGACUUCGACGAGCCGGGGACCCUCGCCCCGACCGGGCUGCUACUCGCAGACGCCAAGUACAUGGUCAUCCAAGGUGAACCUGGCGCCGUCAUCCGCGGCAAGAAGGGCGCGGGAGGCAUCACCCUGAAGAAGACCGGGCAGGCGCUGGUGGUCGGCAUCUACGACGAGCCCAUGACCCCGGGGCAGUGCAACCUGGUGGUGGAGAGGCUGGGCGACUACCUGGUAGAGCAGGGCAUGUAG
Molecule: ribosomal RNA, 435 nt
Filed under: Triticum aestivum (bread wheat)
Lineage: Eukaryota; Viridiplantae; Streptophyta; Magnoliopsida; Poales; Poaceae
Description: partial small subunit ribosomal RNA
Source: RNAcentral